AAACGGUAGGUCGGGCGGCUUGGGGUCGCCUCUUUCCGGAAAUCCUCGUGAAGCCGGAGCCGUCAACCAGUGAGCGGCGUUCUGUCUUGCUUCGGCCCCUUUACCGAUUGUUGAUGGUCCGUCCUCUGGGAGUCUGCAUGGUGUGAACCGGGUCAGACCCUGACGGGAGCAACCCUAAGCAUUGUGUAGGCUGUUCGGAGGGUGGCGGACCUGAGAUCGGUUAGGGAUUCCCUGAAGCAUUUCAGGCGUCCACCACUGGAAACCACUA
Molecule: signal recognition particle RNA, 268 nt
Filed under: Nanohaloarchaea archaeon SW_7_43_1
Lineage: Archaea; Methanobacteriati; Methanobacteriota; Candidatus Nanohaloarchaea
Description: signal recognition particle sRNA
Rfam family: Archaeal signal recognition particle RNA
Source: RNAcentral